GAAUACCCAGCUUGAUAAGGCUCCUACGACAUCUGUCACCCCAUUGAUCGCCAGGGUUGAUUCAGCUGAUCUGGCUGGAUAGGCAGGUGUCCCCUUCCUCUCUCAUCGCUCCAUGUGUGUCCCUCCUAAAGCUGCAUGCUAGGUCAAAGCUGCAUGCUAGGUCAAAGCUGCGUGCUAGGUCAAAGAGGACGACCAGCCCCGAUAGAGGAGGACUGGUCUUCAGUCAAGGGUAUACAAGUAGCUGUGCUCCCCGGCUAGAACCUCCAAACAAGCUCUCAAGUUCCAGAAGGAAGUGAAAGAAAAAGGAAACCAAGAAAGU
Molecule: small nuclear RNA, 319 nt
Filed under: Piliocolobus tephrosceles (Ugandan red Colobus)
Lineage: Eukaryota; Metazoa; Chordata; Mammalia; Primates; Cercopithecidae
Description: 7SK RNA (ENSPTEG00000022539.1)
Rfam family: 7SK RNA
About the family: 7SK was discovered as an abundant small nuclear RNA in the mid-70s but a possible function has only recently been suggested. Two independent studies have found that 7SK RNA binds the CDK9/cyclin T complex (known as elongation factor P-TEFb). P-TEFb activates transcription by phosphorylating the C-terminal domain of RNA polymerase II.
Source: Rfam by way of RNAcentral